RNAcentral lists this ribosomal RNA (456 nucleotides) under uncultured bacterium. RNAcentral's name for it is "bacterial SSU rRNA". It matches the Rfam family "Bacterial small subunit ribosomal RNA", at positions 28 to 480 of the family's 1533-position model. The record is from RNAcentral.
GAUGAACGCUGGCGGCGUGCCUAAUACAUGCAAGUCGGACGCGAUGCUUCUGGCAUCGAGUGGCGAACGGGUGAGUAAUACAUAAGCAACCUGCCCCAACGAGGGGGAUAACUGCUGGAAACGGCAGCUAAGACCGCAUAGGCAUAUCAACCGCAUGGGAGAUAUGUUAAAUAUCCUACGGGAUAGCGAUGGGAUGGGCUUAUGGCGCAUUAGCUAGUUGGUGAGGUAACGGCCCACCAAGGCGACGAUGCGUAGCCGACCUGAGAGGGUGGACGGCCACACUGGGACUGAGACACGGCCCAGACUCCUACGGGAGGCAGCAGUAGGGAAUUUUCGGCAAUGGGCGAAAGCCUGACCGAGCAACGCCGCGUGAAGGAAGAAGUCAUUCGUGAUGUAAACUUCUGUUAUAAAGGAAGAAUGGCGCCUGUAGGGAAUGACAGGCGAGUGACGGUACUU